AUAUUUCUAGUAUAAAUUUAAGUACAAUUGACUUCCACUCAUUUAAUCUUGGUUCAAAUCCAGGGAAAUAUA
This 72-nucleotide transfer RNA is filed under the name Enteromius trimaculatus (threespot barb). RNAcentral describes it as "tRNA-Gly". It matches the Rfam family "tRNA". From Rfam's summary of the family: Transfer RNA (tRNA) molecules are approximately 80 nucleotides in length. Their secondary structure includes four short double-helical elements and three loops (D, anti-codon, and T loops). Further hydrogen bonds mediate the characteristic L-shaped molecular structure. tRNAs have two regions of fundamental functional importance: the anti-codon, which is responsible for specific mRNA codon recognition, and the 3' end, to which the tRNAs corresponding amino acid is attached (by aminoacyl-tRNA synthetases). tRNAs cope with the degeneracy of the genetic code in two manners: having more than one tRNA (with a specific anti-codon) for a particular amino acid; and 'wobble' base-pairing, i.e. permitting non-standard base-pairing at the 3rd anti-codon position. Lineage: Eukaryota; Metazoa; Chordata; Actinopteri; Cypriniformes; Cyprinidae. The record is from RNAcentral.